AGCCGCGGUAAUUCCAGCUCCAUUGGCGUAUAUUAAAGUUGUUGCGGUUAAAAAGCUCGUAGUUGGAUCUGUGUAUCGGACGGUCGGUUCGCCGCUCGGGGUGUUAAACUGACCGGUCCGGGCGUCCUGCCGGUCGGGCCCGGUUCGCGCCGCGGCCAGUAACUCCCUCCGCGCUGCUCUUAACCGAGUGGUUCGGUGGGCCGGCACGUUUACUUUGAACAAAUUUGAGUGCUCAAAGCAGGCCUUAUGUUGCCUGAAAACUGUGUGCAUGGAAUAAUGGAAUAGGGCCUCGGUUCUAUUUUGUUGGCUUUUCUGAACCCGAGGUAAUGAUUAAUAGGGACAGACGGGGGCAUUCGUAUUGCGACGUUAGAGGUGAAAUUCUUGGAUCGUCGCAAGACGGACCGAUGCGAAAGCGUUUGCCAAGAAUGUUUUCGCUAAUCAAGAACGAAAGUUAGAGGUUCGAAGGCGAUCAGAUACCGCCCUAGUUCUAACCAUAAACGAUGCCAGCCAGCGAUGUGCCGAAGUUCCUCCGAUGACUCGACGCGCAGCUUCCGGGAAACCAAAGCUUUUGGGUUCCGGGGGAA
RNAcentral lists this ribosomal RNA (584 nucleotides) under Isonychia rufa. Its description in RNAcentral is "SSU rRNA". It matches the Rfam family "Eukaryotic small subunit ribosomal RNA", at positions 572 to 1122 of the family's 1831-position model. The record is from RNAcentral. Lineage: Eukaryota; Metazoa; Arthropoda; Insecta; Ephemeroptera; Isonychiidae.